UUGGCUCUCCCUCUCAUACGGGGUGACAGGCAGACACGAGGGUCCUGUCCGUCAGGUUCAGGAUUGAUGUGGCCAUUGACGACCACUGUGGCAGAGUUUGACUUUGUGAAAGGCCGGGUCCGCAUCAACACACAGCCCCCUUCCUGUGGUGGGACCGCACGGGUGACACUCUGUAGUGUCAUUUUUAUUGUUGCUGUGUAGAGCCGACCGACCCUUAUUGUGAAGAGAACUGAUUGAUUGAACCAUCAGCGGAAUUGUUCGUUUCUUAUUGCCUCAUCCCUAUAUUUUAUGGAAAUUUUAUUUAUCUAUUGUAAUAAAACCAACUUAACUUUUACACAAGAUACACCUCUGGUAAAUUGUUCCUGUUCGGGGAAGUCAGAGUGGGUCACAACUUGUACGGGAGAUGUUAAAGGUUUAAGGGUUCCUCAUGCCCCUUAGCGGGAGGUGGUGUUGUCAGAUAUUGUCAAAGGCAAAUCUUAGUACCAGGUACUACACUCAUAUUCGGAAUGAUUUUUCUUGCCUAGAUGAACGAUUCAUUC
Molecule: long non-coding RNA, 539 nt
Organism: Seriola dumerili (greater amberjack)
Lineage: Eukaryota; Metazoa; Chordata; Actinopteri; Carangiformes; Carangidae
Exons: 3
Source: RefSeq, a predicted model, not a curated record